RNAcentral lists this non-coding RNA (22 nucleotides) under Rattus norvegicus (Norway rat). Lineage: Eukaryota; Metazoa; Chordata; Mammalia; Rodentia; Muridae. The record is from RNAcentral.
UAAUGUGAGGAUGGUAUACAGU